GACACUUUGGCCGAGUGGUUAAGGCGACACCCUGCUAAUCCUGGCAGUUCUAGGUGUUGGGGUUUCCCCGCGUGUGUUCGAAUCGCACAGGUGUCG
Non-coding RNA from Mycena crocata, 96 nucleotides. The record is from the annotation of a GenBank genome assembly. NCBI's taxonomy places the organism in Eukaryota, Fungi, Basidiomycota, Agaricomycetes, Agaricales, Mycenaceae.